GGAAACCUGCGGAGCAAUCCCGCGUGAGGGAGGAAGGCUCUUGGGUUGUAAACCUUUUUUUCUCAGGGAAGAAAAAAAUGACGGUACCUGAGGAAUAAGCAUCGGCUAACUCCGUGCCAGCAGCCGCGGUAAUACGGAGGAUGCAAGCGUUAUCCGGAAUGAUUGGGCGUAAAGGGUCCGCAGGUGGCUAUGUAAGUCUGCUGUUAAAGAACCUAGCUUAACUAGGUAAAAGCAGUGGAAACUACAAGGCUAGAGUGCGUUCGGGGUAGAGGGAAUUCCUGGUGUAGCGGUGAAAUGCGUAGAUAUCAGGAAGAACACCAGUGGCGAAGGCGCUCUACUAGGCCGCAACUGACACUGAGGGACGAAAGCUAGGGGAGCGAAUGGGAUUAGAUACCCCAGUAGUCCUAGCCGUAAACGAUGGAUACUAGGCGUGGCUUGUAUCGACCCAAGCCGUGCCGGAGCUAACGCGUUAAGUAUCCCGCCUGGGGAGUACGCACGCAAGUGUGAAACUCAAAGGAAUUGACGGGGGCCCGCACAAGCGGUGGAGUAUGUGGUUUAAUUCGAUGCAACGCGAAGAACCUUACCAAGACUUGACAUGUCGCGGAUCUUCUUGAAAGGGAAGAGUGCCUUCGGGAGCGCGAACACAGGUGGUGCAUGGCUGUCGUCAGCUCGUGUCGUGAGAUGUUGGGUUAAGUCCCGCAACGAGCGCAACCCUCGUUUUUAGUUGCCAGCAUUAAGUUGGGCACUCUAGAGAGACUGCCGGUGACAAACCGGAGGAAGGUGGGGAUGACGUCAAGUCAGCAUGCCCCUUACGUCUUGGGCUACACACGUACUACAAUGCUACGGACAAAGGGUAGCUACACAGCAAUGUGAUGCCAAUCUCAGAAACCGUAGCUCAGUUCAGAUCGCAGGCUGCAACUCGCCUGCGUGAAGUCGGAAUCGCUAGUAAUUGCAGGUCAGCAUACUGCAGUGAAUUCGUUCCCGGGCCUUGUACACACCGCCCGUCACACCAUGGAAGCUGGUCACGCCCGAAGUCGUUACCCCAAGAUGCCGAAGCAGACUAUUC
This 1066-nucleotide ribosomal RNA is filed under the name Nodularia sp. 32. RNAcentral's name for it is "bacterial SSU rRNA". It matches the Rfam family "Bacterial small subunit ribosomal RNA", at positions 377 to 1459 of the family's 1533-position model. Lineage: Bacteria; Bacillati; Cyanobacteriota; Cyanophyceae; Nostocales; Nodulariaceae. The record is from RNAcentral.